CAUGGAUAUUCCAUAAGGUAGAUCAUGAUAUGAUCUAAGAGGGGAAUUGUAGAUGCGAAUAUCCAUUUUGCUCUAUAUCCUAACUGUUCAUGUAAGGGUUAAUUUGAAUCAAGAAUAAAUUUGGAAUUGUAUCUCAUGUCACAAUGACUUAUCUAUUUACGGGAAAUGUUAUUGGAACAUGAUUUUGUUAUUUACAUGACAUGACAUGACAUGAUAAGGAUUCUGGAAUGACCUUGUUAAUUGUCCAAGAUUUCUGUAUUUGUAAUCAUCUGGGUUUUAUCCAAUAUGCAUACAUUAUGUAACAUCGAAUUAUAACUAAAAACAGCUGUUUAUAACUUGUGAAAAACAAUGUCAUUGUCACGCCCAUAUGGUCAUUUUUCCCCCUCCCAUCCUGCUAUGAAAAUGGGUUAUAAAUAUAACUGACGUAUGAAUACAAUUUGAAUUGGUUAUUGAACACGUCUCUGCUAUUCAUUUCCAAUUUCCAGAGCUCUGUAUGAGUUGGCAAAUAUCCAUCAUCCACAAAGGGCCCAGGCUGAUUUUAUCCCCAACACCUUCCU
RNAcentral lists this long non-coding RNA (557 nucleotides) under Pelobates cultripes (western spadefoot toad). The record is from RNAcentral. Lineage: Eukaryota; Metazoa; Chordata; Amphibia; Anura; Pelobatidae.